UUUCUAAUUAUGUGCAUUGUAAAAAGCUAUAUAAAAUAAAUAACAGUGCGCGAUAACAGAUUUUGUACUAAUAUCUAAAUAAAGAAAGUAAUAUGAAAAUGUACAUAUGACUAGCUCUGUGAUUAAGUUUCAAUUUUUAUAAU
Molecule: long non-coding RNA, 143 nt
Organism: Bombus impatiens (common eastern bumble bee)
Lineage: Eukaryota; Metazoa; Arthropoda; Insecta; Hymenoptera; Apidae
Exons: 3
Source: RefSeq, a predicted model, not a curated record